UACGUAGGGUGCAAGCGUUAAUCGGAAUACUGGGCGUAAAGCGUGCGCAGGCGGUUAUGUAAGACAGAUGUGAAAUCCCCGGGCUCAACCUGGGAACUGCAUUUGUGACUGCAUAGCUAGAGUACGGUAGAGGGGGAUGGAAUUCCGCGUGUAGCAGUGAAAUGCGUAGAUAUGCGGAGGAACACCGAUGGCGAAGGCAGGCUCU
Molecule: ribosomal RNA, 205 nt
Filed under: uncultured bacterium
Lineage: Bacteria
Description: partial 16S ribosomal RNA
Rfam family: Bacterial small subunit ribosomal RNA
Source: RNAcentral